CUUAUCCUUUGUUGCCAGCGGUCCGGCCGGGAACUCAAAGGAGACUGCCAGUGAUAAACUGGAGGAAGGUGGGGAUGACGUCAAGUCAUCAUGGCCCUUACGACCAGGGCUACACACGUGCUACAAUGGCGCAUACAAAGAGAAGCGACCUCGCGAGAGCAAGCGGACCUCAUAAAGUGCGUCGUAGUCCGGAUUGGAGUCUGCAACUCGACUCCAUGAAGUCGGAAUCGCUAGUAAUCGUGGAUCAGAAUGCCACGGUGAAUACGUUCCCGGGCCUUGUACACACCGCCCGUCACACCAUGGGAGUGGGUUGCAAAAGAAGUAGGUAGCUUAACCUUCGGGAGGGCGCUUACCACUUUGUGAUUCAUGACUGGGGUGAAGUCGUAACAAGGUAACCGUAGGGGAACCUGCGGUUGGAUCACC
Molecule: ribosomal RNA, 423 nt
Filed under: Escherichia coli 1-176-05_S1_C3
Lineage: Bacteria; Pseudomonadati; Pseudomonadota; Gammaproteobacteria; Enterobacterales; Enterobacteriaceae
Description: bacterial SSU rRNA
Rfam family: Bacterial small subunit ribosomal RNA
Source: RNAcentral